ACAUUUGCACAUAAACAUGGACUUCACAUGCUUAUUCCUUUAUUAUAUAUGAUGAUAGGAUCUUAUGAGAACAUCCUGAAUUCGAAUAAAAUUGUUUUGCCUUAUCAUUCAUUUAUUAUAUCAUUUGAAAUCAAUUGACUGAUCACAGUGAUGUAUUGUGACCAUGAUAAUGAUAUCAUUCCAACGUUAUAAUGUAACGAUGUCACACUGGUGUUGCUAUGACAUCAUUCCGAAUUUGGGCAUGAUACUGAAAGAUUUAAAUGAAGGCAUUUUCACUGCCAUCUCCAAAAUACUUUACACCCUUGAGUGAUCUCACCCCAAGAUAGCUUAUGUUAGCUAUGGGGCCAUGGGAAGUCUGUAGGCCAAGUUUGGUCCUAAGAGAUGAAAUAGUACAGGAGCCAAACAGAAUAGAUAGACAAACAUCCAUUUUUUUUAUAUAUAUAGAUAUUGCAAUAGGACAUUGUCAGAUUUGCUGCAUGAAAAUGCUUCAAUCUUCUAACCAAAGAUUUGGGAUCAAAUUAGAAUUCUAUCAGUUGGAAAAUAUAUAUGAAAGAUCAGGGGCAGCUCAUUGGAUUCCCAUUCUCUACAAUUGGACUGAUCUCUGCAGACUUAAGUAAUGUGUAUAAGGUCUGGAAUGGCAUUGCUAUUAGCAAAUGAUUGAGAACUGAUGUUAAGAAAAACUAAUCAUUGACAGAGCAACUGAAUUAUAGAUUUCUUUUAUUAAAAAAUAAUUAUCUUUCCUGAAAAUUAUAACACAACUGCUAUGUAACAUUUUUAAUUUAAUUUUACAAUUAAAUUAUGCCUUUCAUUAUUUUAUUCCAUUAUUGAACAAUACAUUAAUGAUUAGAAAAUAAAAAUUACCAAUUAGUACCAGGAAAGUAGAUACCAGUA
RNAcentral lists this long non-coding RNA (891 nucleotides) under Androctonus crassicauda. The record is from RNAcentral. Lineage: Eukaryota; Metazoa; Arthropoda; Arachnida; Scorpiones; Buthidae.